GCGGGCUAACGAGACGAUGCAUUUUGGAGGGAACUUGCUCCGAAGAUCAUGAGCAUAUCUAUGUAUGUAAUCGACUACGGAGUCNUCGAGCUGUCCAUAGUAUGUAGUAUGCUACAGCGAUGCGUAGGACUGGAGUGCCCCCACAUGACUGAACCGUCAUCACUACGGUGCACAGUAGGAUAUGGUAUGUGGAAGCGGACCAGCACGCGCGUGCACAUGAGCCUUCGGGUCGAUAGUGCUUUAGAGAGAUGAGAAGGACAGUACUUCUGAAUAAGCCUCGGCUAACUACGUGCCAGCAGCCGCGGUAAAACGUAGGAGGCUAGCGUUAUCCGGAUUUACUGGGCGUAAAGCGCAUGCAGGUGGUUUUGUAAGUUGGAUGUGAAAGCUCCUGGCUUAACUGGGAGAGGUCGUUCAAAACUACAAGACUUGAGAUUGGUAGAGGAAGAUGGAAUUCCGGGUGUAGUGGUGAAAUGCGUAGAUAUCCGGAGGAACACCAGUGGCGAAAGCGGUCUUCUGGACCAACUCUGACACUCAGAUGCGAAAGCUAAGGUAGCAAACGGGAUUAGAGACCCCGGUAGUCUUAGCUGUAAACUAUGUGAACUUGGCGUCGGUGGGUUUAAAUCCAUCGGUGCCGAAGCUAACGCGAUAAGUUCACCGCCUGGGGACUACGGCCGCAAGGUUAAAACUCAAAGGAAUUGACGGGGCCCCGCACAAGCAGCGGAGCGUGUGGUUUAAUUCGAUGUUACACGAAGAACCUUACCAGGGUUUGACAUGCAGGUGGUAGGAAGCCGAAAGGUGACCGACUCUUCGGAGAGCCUGCACAGGUGCUGCAUGGCUGUCGUCAGCUCGUGUCGUGAGAUGUUCGGUUAAGUCCCGCAACGAGC
RNAcentral lists this ribosomal RNA (884 nucleotides) under uncultured bacterium. Its description in RNAcentral is "bacterial SSU rRNA". It matches the Rfam family "Bacterial small subunit ribosomal RNA", at positions 158 to 1097 of the family's 1533-position model. The record is from RNAcentral.